AAUCCAUUUAAUAACUAGAUCUACUUUUAUAUUAAAAUUAGACCGUCUCUUAUACUAAUUUUUGUCAAACAAGUGAACUCUUAAGUAAAACUUAGAGGGCAAAUAAGUAAUUUAAAAGCAAACAAAGUUAUGGAAAAAGGGAAACCAUAGUAAUGAAUGAAUGAAUAGUAAAAAUUGCAAAUUCCCAAAGCACAAUUAGGCACUGAGAUUUAGUGACCUCAGUAAUUGUAGGUGGAAGGUUUAUUUGUUCCUAUUCCUAUAGCUCUUUAGGUCUUUGUUUUUACUGCCUUUUAAAGUUUUGACUUGAUACUUUUUACUCUGACUCCCAACAAUACCCUUCUUUUUAUUUAUUGUUAUAAAUCAGGGGUUGUGGGCGUAGGUGAAUUAGGGUUUCAUAUUAUAAAUAUGUGAGAUACAAAGAGUUUUUAGAGAGAGAAACUCAUAAACCUCAUCAAACAUAAAACUUUGAGGGGAAUGUUGGCUGGCUCGAGGCUUUGCUAUCAUCUACUCAUCAUCAUCAUACAUCUCAUGACCAUCAUGAUGAUCAUUAUCAUCAUGUAUGGAUGAUGAUCAUCAUGUAUGUAUGUAUGUAUGUAUGAUGAUGCAAAUUAAAAGAGGCUUCGGACCAGGCUUCAUUCCCCUCAAAAAAUAUCAUUAGUUGUUGUAUAUUUCUCUCUAAAUAUUGUUUUAAUGGAGGUGAUGAAUUCAAAGGGUUUGGUUGAGGGGUAUGUUGUCUGGCUCGAGGUCAUAAAGAUUGAAUUUUUUUCUUCUUCUUGUAUUGUUUACUUUCUUUUUUUUUUAGUAAAUUAUGUAUUGGUUUUUCCAUAUAUAUAAUUUGCAUAAAAAAAAAGGAAAAAAUAAGAGAGGAAAACCCUAAAAAUCUACAUGAUUCUCGGACCAGGCUUCAUUCCUCCCAACCCUCUAACUCUUUUGCUCAACUAUGUCAUAUUUCAAGAUUUAAGGUUGGAUGUAUUAAGAAGAUGGGUUUCCUUAACUCAGAUCUCGGUUUAAUCCCAUGGAUUAAUGACAACUAUUGGUAAAUAUUUUGGCUAAUUAUAUCAGGUUGAUCUUGGUUUCAGUACUCUUUGUUUUUGUUUAUAUUUUGAUUUUUGAAUUAUUUGUGUACAUUUGCUCUCUUGUUGUGAUUUGACAUCUAUUGAUGUAUAUUAUACAGCUCACAAGUCGCAGCUAGCGAUGUAUGUAUAUACGUAGCUUUUUAACAUUUUUAUAGGCCGGGUAUCUAAAUUUUUGAUGUAAUUUUGGUACAUAUUAUAGUGUUUUAACUAUUGAUGAAAUUAUUAGGUCACUUUUUAAUUUUUA
Molecule: long non-coding RNA, 1320 nt
Organism: Beta vulgaris subsp. vulgaris (sugar beet)
Lineage: Eukaryota; Viridiplantae; Streptophyta; Magnoliopsida; Caryophyllales; Amaranthaceae
Exons: 2
Source: RefSeq, a predicted model, not a curated record